UCGAUUCCCUUAGUAGCGGCGAGCGAAACGGGAAGAGCCCAAACCAACAAGCUUGCUUGUUGGGGUUGUAGGACACUCUAUACGGAGUUACAAAGGACGACAUUAGACGAAUCAUCUGGAAAGAUGAAUCAAAGAAGGUAAUAAUCCUGUAGUCGAAAAUGUUGUCUCUCUUGAGUGGAUCCUGAGUACGACGGAGCACGUGAAAUUCCGUCGGAAUCUGGGAGGACCAUCUCCUAAGGCUAAAUACUCUCUAGUGACCGAUAGUGAACCAGUACCGUGAGGGAAAGGUGAAAAGCACCCCGGAAGGGGAGUGAAAUAGAACCUGAAACCGUGUGCUUACAAGUAGUCAGAGCCCGUUAAUGGGUGAUGGCGUGCCUUUUGUAGAAUGAACCGGCGAGUUACGAUUUGAUGCAAGGUUAAGCAGUAAAUGUGGAGCCGUAGCGAAAGCGAGUCUGAAUAGGGCGUUUAGUA
This 471-nucleotide ribosomal RNA is filed under the name Staphylococcus aureus. RNAcentral's name for it is "partial 23S ribosomal RNA". It matches the Rfam family "Bacterial large subunit ribosomal RNA", at positions 231 to 701 of the family's 2925-position model. Lineage: Bacteria; Bacillati; Bacillota; Bacilli; Caryophanales; Staphylococcaceae. The record is from RNAcentral.